Molecule: ribosomal RNA, 608 nt
Filed under: Marinobacter salsuginis
Lineage: Bacteria; Pseudomonadati; Pseudomonadota; Gammaproteobacteria; Pseudomonadales; Marinobacteraceae
Description: bacterial SSU rRNA
Rfam family: Bacterial small subunit ribosomal RNA
Source: RNAcentral
AGGCGUGUGCUUGCACCCCGCUGACGAGCGGCGGACGGGUGAGUAAUGCAUAGGAAACUGCCCAGUAGUGGGGGAUAGCCCGGGGAAACCCGGAUUAAUACCGCGUACGCCCUUUGGGGGAAAGCAGGGGAUCUUCGGACCUUGCGCUAUUGGAUGUGCCUAUGUCGGAUUAGCUAGUUGGUGGGGUAAAGGCUCACCAAGGCGACGAUCCGUAGCUGGUCUGAGAGGAUGAUCAGCCACAUCGGGACUGAGACACGGCCCGAACUCCUACGGGAGGCAGCAGUGGGGAAUAUUGGACAAUGGGGGCAACCCUGAUCCAGCCAUGCCGCGUGUGUGAAGAAGGCUUUCGGGUUGUAAAGCACUUUCAGUGAGGAGGAAAAGUUGGUCACUAAUAUUGGCCAGCCUUGACGUUACUCACAGAAGAAGCACCGGCUAACUCCGUGCCAGCAGCCGCGGUAAUACGGAGGGUGCAAGCGUUAAUCGGAAUUACUGGGCGUAAAGCGCGCGUAGGUGGUUUGAUAAGCGAGAUGUGAAAGCCCCGGGCUUAACCUGGGAACGGCAUUUCGAACUGUCAGGCUAGAGUAUGGUAGAGGAGUGUGGAAUUUCCU